CAGCCGAGCGAGGCUCCGGGGAGGAGGGUGGGGCAGCGCAGAGGAAUGUUGGCCUCCUCUUCUGCCGCCCCCGAAACAGCUCACAGCUGUAGCAGUCGGAGCCCGUCCUUCCCUCUUUCCCUGCCUGCUCAUUUCUGGGGCUUUCCAGAGGAUGAGACUAAGCCUGAGAUUUCCAUCUCUCUGCAAAUAGCUCUCCCUGACCCAGCCCAAUGGCAGCGCUGGCUUGGGAUCUGUUUCUGAGUCCCAAGAUCCACCCACAGGAGCCGGAAGGAUCUGGAGCCCAAUCACGCAUUGCGAGGAGCAGGAAUCACAGGCCUUCCAGAACACAAAAAAUCGCUCUGGGCUUUAUCCCUUUCAGCAGUGAAAUUGAGGGGGGUGGGCAACAGGGGAGGGAGGGGGGAGACUGUCAUGUUAUUUGAGCUUUCAUUAGAUGCUUCUUACGGAUGUACUGCAAGCCCUCAAGUCUUGCGCCCACCCCUCCUCUGUCCUAGGAUCCCCCAAAUCCAGCUGGGGCUCCCCUGCUUUUUUGGGGCUAAUAAUAAUAAUAAAUUUUUAUUUAUACCCCACCCUUCCCAGUUCAAAAACCGGGCUCAGGGUGGCUAACAACAAAUUUAAAACACUUAAUUAUAAAAGCAGCAUAAAAUACAGUAUAAAAACAUGAAUAACAAUAAAAUUCAAAAAUCAAUUUAGGGGAAAUAAGCAUUAGAUAAUCCCCAGGGCUAGCUGGCUGAAUUGGUCCUACUUGGGCCAGCGAGGAGGUCUGGGGAGAAUUAGCUGUGGGGUCUCAGAGUGGGUGAUCUUCAUAAAAGGGGAGUGGGAGGGAAGAGAAGGAAAAUAAAAGAUCAGGCUGAAUUCAAAUUAAAGGCCAGGCGGGAUAGCUCUGUCUUACAGGCCUGACGGAAGGAGGUUAAAUCCUGCAGGGCCCUGGUCUCCUGGGACACAGCAUUCCACCAAGUGGGAGCCACCACUGAGAAGGCCCUGGCCCUGGUGGAGGAUAGUCUGACUUCCUUAGGGCCUGGGACCUCUAAACUAGGGUUAUUCAUGGACCUUAAGGUCCUCUGCGGGGCAGACCAGGAGAAGUCUAGUGUGUCUGUUGAGCACAAAAGCAUUGAUGGAGCACAGAAAUGGAGCAACAGGAGGAGGAGAAACAAGGGGACAAGCAGGAUGGGGCCUUUCUGCUGGUGACAGAUGCAGCAAGGCAGCUCUAAGCCAGGCCAGCUCAGAAUUGAAGGAGGCAGCAGAGAGGAAGUCUGUGCCUGUCACUCUCAGAUGCCCCCAGUUGACAGGAGGUGGGCAAACGGUGCCAGGGAGCAAUGGCCGCAGCUGGUUCAACCUGGGAUUUCAGCCUCCCAGGUAUUCUGCAAUUGUUUUACUAUCUACUUGAUGAACCCUCAAAAGCCAGUUGAUCCCACGGUAGCAUUGAGACCGUUUGAGAUACUGAACUUCCAAGCCAAAGACCAAAAGCAACCACAUGGGGCAUUAUACUGUUGUCAAAUCUAUUCGGUCAUCAAUAAAUGAGUGCAAAGAAUGAUCACUGGGAGAUCAAUUAAUUCACCAGGGUUUCCCCCCGCCCCAGUUGUUUACUGGUGCUCCAGCUUCCCUUGGGUGGGGGUCCCAGAAGAGCAGCCCAGAGCAAGGUCAGAUUAGCUGGCUUGGAACGUCCAGGGGACCUCCCCCGAGCUGGCCUGCAGAUCGGGUCCUGGCGGUCCAAGUAACCCCAGAAACUGUCAUGGGCCAGGAGUCAGCUUCACCUGCUGAGCAGCAGCCUGAAGGAGCAGAAGGCAAGGUGACUCUGCCUGCUACUGAUCAGCCCUCUUGCUCCUGAUGUGAAUCUGCUGGCUCCAGCUUCUUCAGCAGGGUUUGCAGCCUCAGUCAGUUGCUGGAAACAACAUUCGUCGUUCCUGGCCAAACCUUGCUGCUUCUUGCUUCUUGUGACCUUGGACCAGGGGUCAACAAACUUUUUCAGCAGGGGGCCGGUCCACUGUCCCUCAGACCUUGUGGGGGGCCGGACUAUAUUUUUUGGGGGGAAAUGAACGGAUUCCUAUGCCCUACAAAUAACUCAGAGAUACAUUUUAAAUAAAAGGACACAAUCUACUCAUGUAAAAACAUGCUGAUUCCCAUACCGUCUGCAGGCCUGAUUGAGAAGGCGAUUGGGCCAGAUCCGGCCCCCGGGCCUUAGUUUGCCUACCCAUGCCUUGGACCCUCGGCUUUCUUGACCCCUGGACCGUCUGACUACGUGAACUGAGAUGGUCUUGACCUUAGGACUAGACUGGACCUUGUACAUGGACUCUGCCUCCAGGCCAGGACCCCCCUGAGACUUGGCUGGUUGGCUCUGCAACAAAAACAGAUGAAUUGCUGCCCCACAAUGUGCCUUUCCUUCUUAUGUGCCUCCCAAUUGCUACGUGGCAAAUAUUUUUUAUCCUUUCCAGAACAAUGUGAGCCACAGAAUGCCCGGAGGAACAGGAAGCCACUGCUUCCCUCCAGAGACGGGUUGUGGGUUAUGCCCCUCAACCCCUCCAGUGUGGCCUACUCUGACUGGCAACAGCUCUCCGGGGUCUCCUCUGGCAGAGAACAGCCUUUCCCACCCCAGCUCCGAGAAGAUAGAAAAACAAGGGUGAAACAGUGGUUACACCAAAAUUCCAGUACUCAGGGAUUCCUCUGGGCAGUGCCAGCUUCUGCAGGGUGAGGGAGUGCCAGCAAGCUGCCUGCCAGUCACCCAAGGCAGGCUGCAAAGUCCAUCCUCCUGCUCUGCCCGAAUUCUCUGGCUGCCCGGGAGGAGGGAGGGGCUGGCUGGCUGGCAUCCCGUGCUAUUAACUGCAGUGGGAGACUCUGCAUCCGCAGCUGGCUAGGGGGACAUUUUUAUCUCUGGGCAUUUGUCAGGCAACAGUAUCCGCCAUGGUGGUGGGCUUGGCCGGCUGGGCUGCGUGCCGAGACUCAGCGGAGCCCCUCAGCCCCCAGGCCCUGCUUCAGCAAACCCCAGCAGCCCCUGCCCCAUGGAAGGGCUUGCCCUAUGGAGAAGGGGCACUUGCCCAGCCUCCUUGCAGAGGAGCUCGUCUUCCUCUCUGGAAGGCCUUGCCUGCCGGCCAAGAGACAGAAGCAGCCCAGAGGACUCCAUCGCUUUUGUCCUCCUCCGGAAAUAAGGGGGGUCUGCUGGGGAAGGGGGGGCUGGGCAGUGGGCUUUGUAUCUGCAGUCUCCUGGGCUCAGGGCAGGUCACUGCUUCUACCAAAUGGAUGCAUUUCUUCGGUAAAGCAUUCUUGAUAGGGCCAGGGAAACUGACAGGCGCUGAGGAGGGUUCGAAGAAGAAUAAGAAUAGGAAGAAGAAGAAGAAGAAGAAGAAGAAGAAGAAGUGAUGCCGCGGCUUCCAACCAAUUAUUAAAAUACAGUGGUCUGUUAAACAUUAAAAGCUUCCCU
Molecule: long non-coding RNA, 3412 nt
Filed under: Podarcis lilfordi (Lilford's wall lizard)
Lineage: Eukaryota; Metazoa; Chordata; Lepidosauria; Squamata; Lacertidae
Source: RNAcentral